This 405-nucleotide ribosomal RNA is filed under the name uncultured prokaryote. Its description in RNAcentral is "bacterial SSU rRNA". It matches the Rfam family "Bacterial small subunit ribosomal RNA", at positions 355 to 774 of the family's 1533-position model. The record is from RNAcentral.
UGGGGGAUAUUGCACAAUGGGCGAAAGCCUGAUGCAGCAACGCCGCGUGAGGGAAGACGGUUUUCGGAUUGUAAACCUCUGUCUUCGGUGAAGAAAAAAAUGACGGUAGCCGAGGAGGAAGCCACGGCUAACUACGUGCCAGCAGCCGCGGUAAUACGUAGGUGGCGAGCGUUGUCCGGAAUUACUGGGUGUAAAGGGAGCGCAGGCGGGGAAACAAGUCAGCUGUGAAAACCAUGGGCUUAACCCAUAAACUGCAGUUGAAACUGUUUUUCUUGAGUGGAGUAGAGGUAGGCGGAAUUCCGAGUGUAGCGGUGAAAUGCGUAGAUAUUCGGAGGAACACCAGUGGCGAAGGCGGCCUACUGGGCUCUAACUGACGCUGAGGCUCGAAAGUGUGGGGAGCAAACA